RNAcentral lists this ribosomal RNA (467 nucleotides) under uncultured bacterium. Its description in RNAcentral is "partial 16S ribosomal RNA". It matches the Rfam family "Bacterial small subunit ribosomal RNA", at positions 30 to 506 of the family's 1533-position model. The record is from RNAcentral.
AUUGAACGCUGGCGGCAUGCUUUACACAUGCAAGUCGAACGGUAAGGCCCUUUCUGGGGUACACGAGUGGCGAACGGGGGAGUAACACGUGAGUAACCUGCCCUCAUCUCUGGGAAAACAGUCGUAAACGGUUGCGAAGACUUGAUAUGAGCGUUCAAGGCAUCUUGUGGGGUGGAAAGAUUUUUUUUGGUUGGGGAUGGACUCGCGGCCUAUCAGCUUGUUGGUGAGGGAGUGGCUGACCAAGGCUUCGGCGGGUAGCCGGCCGGAGAGGGCGACCGGCAACAUUGGGACUGGGAUACGGCCCAAACCCCUACGGGAGGCAGCAGUGGCGAAUAUUGCACAAUGGACGGGAGUCUGAUGCAGCACCGCCGCGUGCGGGAUGACGGCCUUCGGGUUGGAGACCUCUUUCACUUGUGACGAAGCUUUUUUGUGACGGGAGCAGUAGAAGAAGCACCGGCUACCUACGU